UACAGAGGUCUCAAGCGUUGUUCGGAUUCAUUGGGCGUAAAGGGUGUGUAGGUGGCGCCGUAAGUCGGGUGUGAAAUUUCGGAGCUUAACUCCGAAACUGCAUUCGAUACUGCGGUGCUUGAGGACUGGAGAGGAGACUGGAAUUCAUGGUGUAGCAGUGAAAUGCGUAGAGAUCAUGAGGAAGACCAGUGGCGAAGGCGGGUCUCUGGACAGUUCCUGACACUGAGGCACGAAAGCUAGGGGAGCAAACAGG
Molecule: ribosomal RNA, 253 nt
Filed under: uncultured bacterium
Lineage: Bacteria
Description: partial 16S ribosomal RNA
Rfam family: Bacterial small subunit ribosomal RNA
Source: RNAcentral